Molecule: long non-coding RNA, 269 nt
Filed under: Canis lupus dingo (dingo)
Lineage: Eukaryota; Metazoa; Chordata; Mammalia; Carnivora; Canidae
Description: lncRNA (ENSCAFG00020007073.1)
Source: RNAcentral
AGAACUUUCUGGAAAACUAGCUGAGUGCUACUUGCCUGAAGGGCACUGUGCUUGGAGAUCAAAACAAAAAGGCCAACAUCAGAAAAGCUAAGUUUGCUGUAUAAUAAGGAUCAGAAGAUCUGAUCCUGAUUGCAGAACCAUCCCUGAUUACAGAAUCUGAGUUGUGUCUUCCACCUCAUCCUUCCAGACCAUCCCAGGAGAUUUGGGAGGUUCCAUCUGGGAAAACACUAGGAGUACUUGGAAGGGAAAGAAGGAAGAGGAUUAUUGGU